GAGAUGCUGGCAUCGCUCAGCAGGCAGCAUGUUGUCCAUGAGCUGGGAACUGCUGCUUUGCAGGCUGCUCACAUGUAACACAUUGCUCAUAAUGCUGGCUCGUAGGUCAUUUAAUCAUUUAAAUAUUUGUGCUUUAUUACUGAAAAUAAGUUCCGUGAUUAAUCAUUAACAUCAGAGCAACCUCUGCCGGCUACUGGGGACAGAGCUCUCAGCAGCAUAACGCGUUAAAAGAUCUGAAUUCGAUAUGCCUGCUGUAUGAUUCACACUUUUAUUGUCUCUCAAACCCAUUAGUAUUUAAGUACAAGUAAUGGUAUUUUGCCUAGAAUUUAGGCAGAAUAUAAAAUAAAUGUACAGUGGGAGCUUUGCCAAGUUUGAAGAACUCCUCAUUGGCACUGUAGUCCCGAGAGCAGCAGCUUCUGGCAAAGUGAACGCAAACACAGAGACUUCCCUGAGUACAAAGGAUCCUCGUCGAGGCCCCGGUGCCACAGCUCAGAUGGCAUAAUUAAGUUCAAACCAAGGAAGAAAGUCCUUGCCUGGAUAAAGACAGAUACCAUCGGCUCUUGUUUUUUUUGGAAAGUAACUAUCAGAAAGACCUGAUAUUCCUCCAAGUGCCUUUCUAGAAAUUAAAAAAAAAUCCAUUUUAGGGUAAAAAAAAAAUAAAUUUUCUAAAUGUCCUUCUAUUGCUGUUUUACAGAUGAGAAACUGAGACGCAGACUGAUCCCAACUCCCAGCUCUCUCAGAUUAUUUGGCUUAGAAAUAACAUUGAGGAUCAAUGGAAGAUCAUAUCCAUUUGGAGGUACAGUCCAUUUGUAAGAUUUUGGGACAUUCUAUAUCCUCACCCAGUGCCACUGCUUGAGGGUGAUAGCAGAGAUGAGUUAAUGUCACCUCCAGUAUCCGCGUACCUAAUGGCCAGCUGUCCUCAAGGAAGAGGGCUAAAAUCAGCAGCUCAUUUAACUCAGCAGACUGUUGAGAACUCUCCAUGCAUAAGUUUUUUACUUACGUGCAUAAGCUGGAUGCAAACUGCUUGACUAAAUUGCAAAAACCAAAUUCAUCUUUUCCAGUUUGCAAGCUCCUCUUCUGAGCGCCCAUUCAGUAUGGAGAUACCAACAGUGUUGGGAGAUUUUAUUUCAUUUUUUGUUGCUAGUUCUAUAUAAUGGAAGUAUAUCAAGUGCUGUGCAUAAGAUGUUAUUAGGACAUUAGGAUUACUCAUUGCAAAGACACGUGUAAUAUAGAGUGGCUGUUUCCUUGCACAGCGUGGAACCAGAAUGCCUGCCAGUUGGAAAUGAAGUCACCUUCCAUUUCAGGCUGACUUCUCUACAAAAUAUGAGUUUUCCUGUGGAUCUGGAAUUGCCAGGCAUGUUGGAUAGGAAGUAGUUGAGAAACCCAACCUUUCUGGAAGGUGGGGAGCUUGGAAAUACACUGACACCCUUCUCCAAUUUCUUGGCUCAGCCGCUUGUAUUCAGCUGAUAUGAAAUCCUCUCUUUCAAGAGGGCACCUUUUCUGCCUACUGUGGUUUUGCAGCUCUGGUAGCAUUAAUGCCAUCUCCUAGAGCACAGCAGGCUUUUCCAUUAGGAUCUAGGAAGAGCCAGGUUGGAUACAGGCUAGCAGAACCCACUGAAGAUUUCGGGACCUCCAAAUACUUUGUCUUGUACAUUUAAGGAUUCCACAAAAUACAUGUAAGCAGAGAUUAAACGUUCAAAGGAGAGCACAGAUGGUUGAGUAGCACUCAUUUUGAUCACCAACAUUCCUAAAAGUUCUAGCCAAAAGGAAAGGAUUUUCCUUUAUGUGAGAAAAGAUUGACUUCUGAGACCCUUGUAUUUAAAUACCAGUAGCUGGUGCAUCACCACUGAUGUAGGUUGUCAUUUCUGAUUAAAAAAAAACAAAACAAAACAACUCUGUAUCAACAUAAAAUUAUUGUGCAGCAAUUUAAUGGCACAGCUCUUCUCUAUGAGCUCAGAAAACAUCCCAUUAAGUCUUUCACGAAUUGCCACAAUAACUUCUGCUGACAUGCUCAUUUGUUCUCAUCUCCGAAUAAAUCUGCUCGAUGACUUCCACAGGACAGAGCAGGGAUUUCCCAGGCCGUGAUUCAGCACAGCUUCAUUCCAGCACCUCGGUGUUCUCCCCAUCUCAGCUCUGGGUGAGGCUGAGGUUGGAGAUGCCACUUCACACCAGCUCAGAUGGGGGCUGUGUGUGCUGCACGGCGCUGGUGUGAGACAGCUGAUGAAAUGUUUUUUGCUUCUCUCUCGGAUCUAUUUCAGUGCUCUUCACCAUCUGGUGAAACACUUCAAGGAAGAAAACAGCCUUGCAAUGUCUCAUUUUGCCGUGGUUUUUGAGCAUUAUUUUAAUGAUCUUUGUGUCAUUUAAGUAUGAUUACUUGUCCUCUAAGGCUUUUCCUGUUUAUACUUAAAUAGUGUUGGAGCGUAGCCAGACACACUUUAAACAAAAUGAUAGAAAAUAGUACUUUUUUUUUAUUUUUUGUCAUAAAAGCUUAAAAGAAUCAUUUACAAUUUGGGAACAUAGUGGCACUUUGCAUUCUGGUAGGGUUUUGUCUUUUUUUUUUUUAAUCUCCUUGUAGUAGUAGAAAAAUAAAUGAAUUAAACAAGCGUAAUUACCAGUUAAAUUUUACAAAAUACCAAAGAAAUGGAAGGCUUAAUUCAAAAGGGUGGUAAUGGUAUAAAUAAUUAAGUCAAAUUGUUUUCAUUUUCAUGCCGCAUAUUGUUUCCUUCAGACUGUAAUGGUACAAGGCAAAGUAUGCGCCGUGCUAGAACAAGACAAAUAACAGAUAAAUUUAUUCAUAAACACUUUGUGGAUUUGUAAUUAGAAGUUCACUGCGGCGGUUUUCACUGGUCUUUAUUUUUUUCCCCAAUUUCUGUAAAUAUUUGCAUGAUUAAAUUUUUGCUUUGAGAAUGCAGACAGAUGCAGAAUGCACUGCGGAAGUGCUGUGAAACCUUCCUUAUUUCUUGGCUGUAGUGGCAACCAGAUCCCCAGCAUCCUCAACACAGCAUGGCCAUCUGCCAGCUGGGUUAGCCAGCACCACGCCUAUGGAGGUUGGGAGCUGUUGGGAUGGGUUUGUGUGUGGCAGUUUUCCCUCUUUUAAUUAAUUAAUACCCAAAAAAGGAGUUUUUCUGACCCACGGAUGAUAAUGACCUGGUAGAUAUCAAAUUCACUGGACUUCAGGGACCAGCAGUGACUUCUGCCAGAAAAUGGGGGCUGACAAAUGAAAUGAUUGUGUAGGACAAAUGCAGCACCAUAUACAUGAAACACUACGAUCAUUGCCUACGUUUUGUGGGUCUGGCAUGCAGAAUGCCUUCAGUGCUGUAUCUUCAAUGAACCCAUUUCGGUGUAAAGUUGUGAUAACCUGCGGAGAUCAGAAGAUCUCCUGAGGGUCAAUACGCACCAUUACAAGACUUCAAACGCCAGGUGAUGAUACUGAAAGGGACAUCCAGAGCUCCACAGGUUCUGAACCUGUUUGUGGAACUACCUCUUGGUUUAUUUUGAGCAUGGUACAAAUUUACUAAAAUUAAACUUUUGAAAAUACGAAGACACAGAAGCAAGUUAAACCUCCUGAGUAAAUUUGCCAUUCAGCACGCUCUAGAUGUAUUCACUUUUUAUGAAAGUAAGACUAUGCUAGGAUUACCUGUAUUUCCUUGGGGUAGGGGUCCUUAUUCUGCCCCUGUUGCACUCACACAGAUCCUACUGGUACCAUAAUGUGAGCAGCAGAGGUUGCAGCACUGCUCACAGCUCUUGCCUGCAGGUAGCCCAUGAACAUCGAUAUCUUCCAUCAUUGCAUCAGUGCAGCGUGAAGUACCAGGUGAGCUUGUGUCUGUGCCCAGCCCCAGGGAAGGAUUUGCCAUACACUAAUGUGCUAAAAUGAGCUGGGCUGGGGUCAAAACAGCAAGGUCCUCAACUCUGCUGAUUCACUGCUUAUCCUUCCAGCAGCCCGAGGGAGCUGCAACAUGUGUGGUGCUUCCCUUACCCUCUCGCUGCAGUGGAGCACGGCUUCUGCAUAGCACUACUGGCCUCUGCUGCCAGCACGGGAGAGGAGGAGAGAAGAGAAAUUGAAGGGGACUUUCCACCUCCCUGCUUUUCUGGAGGGCCUCCUGAUCCCUGCCUAUGAGCCGGAGGAAAAGCAAUCUUUCAUCCUUACCUUAUUUCCAUGCUUACAAAUAAAGGUCAAGGCUCCUCUGCUGUAUUCAAUGCUGUACCAGCUUUAAACAACCACCCUGAAAUGUAAUUGUAAUUAGUUUCCUUUCAAUCUUGAUGUGAAGAGUGAUCUUAAAAUGCCAGGGCUGUAGCAGCGCAUGUGAUUAACAAGCACAGAGAAAGGCAAUGUGUGGAAAAAUAUGGAUAGAAAUGAACAAAAUGCAAAUGUUGCACUGCUCUAAAUUUUAUUAUCCUCUCAGCUCUUCAUAAAAUACUGUAGACAUCAUUUGAUUAUAUUUUUAGUCUAGGGAAUUAAUUUUUAACUAGGGAACUCAUUUCUGCCUUAUGAUUACUCUUCUCUGCAGUGGCCUGUAGGUCUGAACUAAAAAAUCACAGUUUUAAUUGAGCUAAUGAUGCCCAGAACUCACAUUAAUCUCACUUAUGUGUGUGUCAUGCCAUGCAGCAUGUGCUAUAGCUGCCAGUAACGUGUGCAUCAUUUCAUACCAAUGAUUCCUCCAGGGGACCAAGUAAAUCCUGGCUGGCUUGGGUCUGUAUCCCACUAUAGUCACUGCCCAGAAGACUCCUUGGAAAUGCUGAUGACUGGGCAGCCAGCAGAGGGAAAAGAAAAUAGCAAAAACAGCAUUCGUGAUCAGCCUCCAUGUCCACCCCAGCUCUUUCAAGAACUUUUAACACCUGCACAUUUUGGCUUGUGACAUCCAGACUCACAGUAGGGAUCAACAAACAUUUGGGAAUCUAUAGAUCUAUAUGUUCACCUCAUCCCACAGCCACCAUCCCACAGCCUCGGUUUUCAACUCUCUGUGCUGGAAUCCACAUUAAACAGAGCAGUGAAGUUCCAAUUGUUUGUUGUCAAAGAGUUUCAGUUUUGUGAUGAAAGAUGUGACCUUUCUUUGCGGCAAGAGUCCUUUCUGAUUGAUUAGUAAACAUGAGGUAAAAUGCAGGAGCACGCCAGCGUUAACUUGGUACUGCCACUGGCUCUGUGCAUCAAAUAUUUUUGCUUUAUUUUGAACAUCCUGUUAAUGAGAAAAACAUUCUAAUCAAAGAAACGUGUUUCCUUCAAUUCUCUGCACAGUGUUAUUUGCUGCUUCAGAAUGACAUGCUCAAUUAUAUCUGUUUUAUUCCCAAAUUAGAAAAAAAGAAAAAAAAAAAAGCUUCAGAGAAUUAUUAACUAAGACUCUUAACAAGUGUUAAGCAACAUCCAGUAUUAAUUAUUUAAUCAUUUUUUUAAUUCUUUCUCAUCAGGUAAGAAGAGAAUAGCAUGCUUGCUCAGAGGAUGGUUUUUUGCUUAGCACCAUUGUGCUCAGGACUGGACUCCAAAAGCAAACACAAGGUAAGAGGCCUCUGCAGACAUUGAUGGGCACAAACCUUUUAAUUAAAGCCACCAGAGAGGCAGUGUAAUCGAGUGCAAGGAACAGCAUUUCUGUGUGCAUUAUGAUACAUGAGAAAUGGGCUGGGGAAGGACCCAACAGAGGCUGAGUACAAGAGAGAGGUGCGCACGCCACAGAGCAAGCAAACUGGGCAGAGGUUGCAUUCUGGAUGAGGACACCAAGGUUCACGUACUCGUGGCCUCAUAUGAGCACCCCAGCCACUUCCAGCCUCCCCCAGUAUUGCCCUCUCUGUUCUCCCACCACCCAUUGCCCUUUCCCAUUUUCCCAGAUCUCACCACACUCCAGGAGCACACCAAAAGAGUUAUCUCAGGACGUGGCAGACUCCUCAAUGCUGAGCAGCUUCUCAGAGAGUGUGUGGGCUUUGAGAAGAAGGAUGCCUUUUAUUUGUGUUCUGUUCCCUAACAUUUGGAUAAAGCCUCAUUCAUCUCAGCCAUCCUCUGCUGCUAGGAGAAACCCCUGUUUGUGGCAUUGUGGAGAGCCCAUUUUGGGCUGCUGUGGUCCUCUACUGCUUCCCUUUAGGACUCUGAUGAUACCUGUGUGAACAAGCAGAAGAGUGCCAUGCCAAGAAAUGGGCACAUGUAUUACUUGGGUGCAUCAUUUAAUCAAUUCCCUCUGUGUUAUAAUUUCCUCUGCUACUCAAAGGACCAUGGACCUUGCACACUGCUGCCAUGAUCCAAACUUAAGUUUUGGCAUACAUUGCUUUCUUUUCAUGAUCCUUCACAUCACUGGUAUCUCCUUCUUCCUUUCCUUCAAGUUGUAGCCAAGCUCUUGACUGGAUUGGGUCCCUAUUGGUGAGGUACAGAAAAAACAUGGCAGCUUGGCCCAUCUCUUUGGCUCCACCUCUAGAAAGAGGGAAGUCUCCAUGUCCACGUGCAAAUUUCCUCACAUUUCAGCAGCCUGGCCUUAGGCCAUCGAGCCACCUUCGCUGGCACUGCUGAUACUUGGCAUGAAGUUCUCCCAUCCUAAUUCCUGCUAGAACAGAUUGUGCAGAACACAUCAUGGUUUGAAGGCUGUCCAAGAGGUGCUCUGUGGGUUGGAAGUCCUCAUCUAGGUCAGGAUCAAUACUUAAUGAAAACCCUUGUGAAGCAAGGCCUGCUCCUCAGCUCCUCUGUUAUGGAGGAUUAUUUGAUUCACUUACAGGAGCAUGCAGUACUUUGCUAAAUCAUUUCUAGAAGUGUUGCCAUGAAAUAUUUCCUCCAAGAGCAAUAAAGGACCCUCUAUAUUUUUAAGUUUGUCAGAAAGACUUUGCCACAGUAUAAAAUAUAGGUGCCUUCAAGAAUAAGCUUCUUGUUAGCUGAAAUAGUCCCUCUGUAUACAUAAAUGCACAGUGCCAUGCACUUUUUUUUUUUGUGUGUGUGUGUGUGUGUGUAUCACAAUUUCAUUCAUAUAAAAACGAUUUAUGGCAAUUCCAUCAACUGCCAUUUAAGGGGGCUCGUUAAGUACAGCAGGAUGUGAUUAGUCCCACAGGGGAGCUUGUGUUUUAUCAAAAGAAAACAACAAUCAGCUGGUAGAGCUACUUACAGCAGGGAAAGGAAUGGUGAGAAGGAGAGCUGAAGGGAGCAGCGACCACUAGGAGAGUGAGUACUGGCUAUGAGACAAGAAGCUUUUGAAUCUACAUUGGCAGAAAGACUCUGUGUGUGCAGCCACCCCAUGGAUCCAAGGGAAACUGUGUGAGAUGGAUGGGGCUGGUGGUCCCAGGCAUAUUCACCUGCAGUGAAGUUGAUGCAAACUUGACACCAACACCAAGCACUUCUAUCCAAACUUCAACUGAAACUCCGAGCCAAGCAGGUUGGAUGACAGGCACACCAACACCAACCUUGGGAAGAGCAACUGUGAGUGUGGGGAACCUUUCAACACAGAAAAGAACUGUGGAAAAAUGAAGAUGCAUGUUGGUGGCAGAGCAUAAGUGCUACACAUCCCCUUCCAGCAGCACCUGGAGACAUUUCCAGAAGUCUCUGCCUGGACACAUGCUGCUGGACCAAACCUUCCUGUUGUAAAGCAAAGGACUAAAGGAAGCCGAAUUCAUGGAAGGAGAAGCACUUAUUUAGGUAAGGAGGCACCAACACUGUGUUUGAUUUCUUGGUACAAGUAAUUAAGCCGACUUCACUUAUGUGAUUCUAAGAUUUCUACCUGAAUUAUUGGAACUUUUAAAUUCUACCACAAUGAAUGAGUAUAUUCCUCUACCUUCACUUUGAUUUUUUUAUCUGAUAAAAUCGAUCUAUUUUGAUCGAUAUAAAAACAAAUAUUUGAGCGUAGGAAAUGCAUGGUUUGCUCCUUAUAGCGUUUCAGUGCAUGAUUACUUUUGUGUUCAUGUCAAUGUGCUGAACACAAAGCAUGGAAGGAGCAGAAGCAAAGGUGCACCAUUACCACAACCCUGCCUCACCUUCUCUGGGCUGACAUGACAGCUUUAAUCACACUCCUUUCAGGCUGUGCUUUGGCAGUAGAGGUAUUGAUAAGGCUAUGCAAUAGGAGAGCAGUCUCAGUGAUCUGUCUUAUGAAAAUUGUAGGCUUUUGUUCCUCCUGUUAGCAAUAGUAGGUGUCUGUCUAUCAUUCGUUAAUCAGUCCUUGCUGGAUAUUAGAGUGGAAAGAAGGAAGGCACAGAUUUCACAGCUAGGCAGAAACGUGGGGAAAGAAGUGUAGCUGCAGCCUUCUGGGUACACAGUGUGCUCUCACAGAGAUGGGAGGGGAAUGUAGGGCAAACUGUCUGCAGGAACCACGGGUCUCAGCUCUGCAGGAACCUUCCAAGCUACUUUUUCCAAAUUUCCUCCUAUCUGUGCAAACCACAGCUUAUAUAACCCAGUGUGAGGUACUUCCACUGCAGAAUA
This is a long non-coding RNA of Lagopus muta (rock ptarmigan), 8374 nucleotides long. RefSeq lists it as uncharacterized. The record is from RefSeq and is a predicted model, not a curated record. Lineage: Eukaryota; Metazoa; Chordata; Aves; Galliformes; Phasianidae. The transcript is spliced from 4 exons.